Molecule: ribosomal RNA, 382 nt
Filed under: uncultured eukaryote
Lineage: Eukaryota
Description: partial 18S ribosomal RNA
Rfam family: Eukaryotic small subunit ribosomal RNA
Source: RNAcentral
UGUAAGCGUAUACCAAAGUUGUUGCAGUUAAAACGCUCGUAGUCGGAAUUUGGCAGUUCCGGAAGUGUGCACGUCGUGUGCGCACUUUGCGGGGACUGCUUUUGUGGUCUUGCGUAGGAUGAGGCACUUUCAUUAGUGAACGUCCUCACGCGACCACUCUUUACUGUGAGAAAAUCAGAGUGCUCAAAGCAGGCAUUUGCCGUGAAUGUAUUAGCAUGGAAUAAUAGAAUAGGACUCGGUUCUAUUUUGUUGGUUUGUUGGGACUGAGUAAUGAUUAAGAGGGACAGUUGGGGGCAUUUGUAUUCCGGCGCUAGAGGUGAAAUUCUUAGAUUGCCGGAAGACAAACUGCUGCGAAAGCGUCUGCCAAGGAUGUUUUCAUUGA